RNAcentral lists this ribosomal RNA (254 nucleotides) under uncultured bacterium. RNAcentral describes it as "partial 16S ribosomal RNA". It matches the Rfam family "Bacterial small subunit ribosomal RNA", at positions 524 to 776 of the family's 1533-position model. The record is from RNAcentral.
UACGUAGGGGGCAAGCGUUGUCCGGAAUCAUUGGGCGUAAAGAGCGUGUAGGCGGCUCGGUAAGUCCGCUCUGAAAGCCCGGGGCUCAACCCCGGGAGGCGGGCGGAUACUGUCGGGCUAGAGUCCGGAAGAGGCGAGUGGAAUUCCUGGUGUAGCGGUGAAAUGCGCAGAUAUCAGGAGGAACACCAAUGGCGAAGGCAGCUCGCUGGGACGGUACUGGACGCUGAGACGCGAAAGCGUGGGGAGCAAACAGG